This 325-nucleotide long non-coding RNA is filed under the name Carica papaya (papaya). RNAcentral describes it as "long non-coding RNA (CPAP_LNC012892)". The record is from RNAcentral. Lineage: Eukaryota; Viridiplantae; Streptophyta; Magnoliopsida; Brassicales; Caricaceae.
AGAUUAUAUUCAUUUAUGGGAUGGGUUAGAAGUACAGUAUGCAAGAAAUCGUGGGCAAAUGAUCAUCAUAAUACCCUUUAUUAUAGCCAUUCUGCCUACUCUGAGUAGUUUGAAGAUGUCUUCUUAUCAACACAAUAUUUUCUCUAGUCUCCUCUACUAUUUAUAGUCCAAUUAGUUUCUUUUCUCCAACUUCUUCCCAGCAAGAUGGUGAUUUACAGGAUCUCCUGUAUAAAGCUUUAUAAGGAGCCAUUUUACUGUUGGUAUGAUAAUUGUUAUUGGAUACGAAUUCAAUCAAAGGCAAAUGAUCAUCCCAGUUCCCUCUCAA